RNAcentral lists this small nucleolar RNA (139 nucleotides) under Lates calcarifer (barramundi perch). The record is from RNAcentral. Lineage: Eukaryota; Metazoa; Chordata; Actinopteri; Centropomidae.
UUUGCACACUGUUAGAGCCCGGCACUGUCCUGUCUGUGCAGUGCGGGGUGUAGGAUGUGUGCUAAAAAAAUGCGCCUGACCUUUAACCUCUUCUUUCUGAACCACGCAGAGGGAGACAGGUAGAGGUCUUGCUACAAAA